GACGAACGCUGGCGGCGUGCUUAACACAUGCAAGUCGAGCGGAAAACUUCGGUUUUCAGCGGCGGACGGGUGAGUAACACGUGGGCAACCUGCCUCACAAUGAGGGAUAGCCUUCCGAAAGGAAGAUUAAUACCUCAUAACACAAGAGAAACGCAUGUUUCUCUUGCCAAAGAAUUUCGUUGUGAGAUGGGCCCGCGGCGCAUUAGCUUGUUGGUGAGGUAACGGCUCACCAAGGCUUCGAUGCGUAGCCGACCUGAGAGGGUGAUCGGCCACAUUGGGACUGAGGCACGGGCCAGACUCCUACGGGAGGCAGCAGUGGGGAAUAUUGCACAAUGGAGGAAACUCUGAUGCAGCAACGCCGCGUGAGUGAUGAAGGUCUGCGGAUUGUAAAACUCUGUCUUCUGGGACGAUAAUGACGGUACCAGAGGAGGAAGCCACGGCUAACUACGUGCCAGCCGCCGCAGUAA
Molecule: ribosomal RNA, 467 nt
Filed under: uncultured bacterium
Lineage: Bacteria
Description: partial 16S ribosomal RNA
Rfam family: Bacterial small subunit ribosomal RNA
Source: RNAcentral